Molecule: ribosomal RNA, 415 nt
Filed under: uncultured bacterium
Lineage: Bacteria
Description: bacterial SSU rRNA
Rfam family: Bacterial small subunit ribosomal RNA
Source: RNAcentral
UGGGGGAUAUUGCACAAUGGGGGAAGCCCUGAUGCAGCGACGCCGCGUGGGUGAAGGAGCGUUUCGGCGCGUAAAGCCCUAUCGGCAGGGAAGAAGACGACGGUACCUGACCAAGAAGCCCCGGCUAACUACGUGCCAGCAGCCGCGGUAAUACGUAGGGGGCAAGCGUUAUCCGGAUUUACUGGGUGUAAAGGGGGCGCAGACGGCAAUGCAAGCCAGGAGUGAAAGCCCGGGGCCCAACCCCGGGACUGCUCUUGGAACUGCAUGGCUGGAGUACAGGAGGGGCAGGCGGAAUUCCUAGUGUAGCGGUGAAAUGCGUAGAUAUUAGGAGGAACACCAGUGGCGAAGGCGGCUUACUGGACGAUGACUGACGUUGAGGCUCGAAAGCGUGGGGAGCAAACAGGAUUAGAUACCC